This is a long non-coding RNA of Corapipo altera (White-ruffed manakin), 436 nucleotides long. RefSeq lists it as uncharacterized. Lineage: Eukaryota; Metazoa; Chordata; Aves; Passeriformes; Pipridae. The transcript is spliced from 3 exons. The record is from RefSeq and is a predicted model, not a curated record.
AUAUGGUAGAGUCUGAGUAGGAACAUUUCACUCAUCUCACUCCAGUAGUUCACAUCAGAAGAAAAAAUUUGCCCUUUCAGCAAAUAUUUUGCAGCAAAAAAAAAAAGUGAAGAUCUGAAGAAUUAAGACAUCCUGACUUCUAAAACUGUGGCUGAAAUAUUGCUGGGGACAGAGAAAACAACUCGACAAGGCUGUGGUGUGCCAGGUCUGUACUACAGGUGUGAAAGGAGCGUAUUUAGCUACCCAGCAAAAAGAUACUCAGUAUGAUGAGAUAUUCUGGAAUCUUUCACAAAUGGCAUUUUGCUUCUACUGUCCCAAUGAAAGACAGAAUGAAUUUCAUCAAUAUGAUGGAGUUGCAAGAAAUUUAGCCUUGUCAAAGAGAGACCUAAGGCUUUGAACACAGAUGAAAUGGGGGCCAAUCUAUACCUACAGAACU